Molecule: long non-coding RNA, 487 nt
Organism: Lycium barbarum (goji berry)
Lineage: Eukaryota; Viridiplantae; Streptophyta; Magnoliopsida; Solanales; Solanaceae
Exons: 3
Source: RefSeq, a predicted model, not a curated record
UUUAACGAAUUGGGCUCAACAAAAAUUUGAGAAAAAUUGAGGCCCAAGACCACAAGGUGGCCGGCCAUGGUCCAAAAAUUACCAAGCCCAUGAGUUAAUUAAUUAGUCAUGUGCAUGGUCAUGUGACAAGUCUAGAUAAGAAGACCAAGUCUUCAUCUUUGUUCAAUUAGAAGCUUCAAGAAAGACAAGAGAAAUUGAGAGCCAAAAAUAAGAGCCUAUUCGGCUUGGCCAUAGAAAUUUCACCCUUGGAAAUCUUGCUCCUAAAAUUUUUCUCUUGGUGGAUUUAUACUAAGUUGAGGUCCCUCUACAACUUGGUGAAAUUGGUUUGGAAGAAAGAGCAUUUAAUUCCUCAAUUUAAACAUAUAUUCAAGUGAAGAAGGUUGGAGGAAAAGAUUUUGGACGAAACGGGACUUAAGUUUUGGGCAAGCGUAAGUCGUAUAAAAGGUACCGAAGCUUACAGUGGUGAUCCGCCAGCCUAGGGUACACA